AUUGAACGCUGGCGGCGUGCCUAAUACAUGCAAGUCGAACUCCGUGGGUACGGGUGAGUAACACGUGGGUAACCUCCCAUCAGAGGGGAUAACACCUGGUAACAGGUGCUAAACCGAUACUGAUGGAUGGACCCGCGGUGCAUUAGCUAGUUGGUGAGGUAACGGCUCACCAAGGCCACGAUGCAUAGCCGACCUGAGAGGGUGAUCGGUCACCCGGGGCCUGUGACACGUCCCAAACUCCUACGGGAGGGAGGAGGAGAGAGUCUUCGGCAAUGAACGGAAGGCGACCCGGGCAACGCCGCGUGAGUGAAGAAGGUUAUCGGAUCGUGAAGCUCUGUUGUUAGAGGAGCGGUAUCUAACCAGAAAGCCACGGCUAACUACGUGCCAGCGGCCGCGGUAAUAC
RNAcentral lists this ribosomal RNA (403 nucleotides) under uncultured bacterium. RNAcentral describes it as "partial 16S ribosomal RNA". It matches the Rfam family "Bacterial small subunit ribosomal RNA", at positions 30 to 526 of the family's 1533-position model. The record is from RNAcentral.